Long non-coding RNA from Homo sapiens (human), 1966 nucleotides. RefSeq lists it as uncharacterized. The transcript has 3 exons. The record is from RefSeq and is a predicted model, not a curated record. Lineage: Eukaryota; Metazoa; Chordata; Mammalia; Primates; Hominidae.
UGAGGAUGUGGUAGAUCCUGGGAGGCCACUCUGAUCCUGCCAACCUUGAGGCCAGAUGAGUCUUUGAAAAACAUGGUUUGGCUUAACACCAGCACUUAGUCUAACACCCACCAUGAAUCUUGCUGAAGUGAAGCUAUACAAAUACCUUUUCAAAAGAUUUUUUUUCAUUCCAGAUCCUUCUUAGAAAUUCCUAAGGCUCAAUGUUGUGUGGAAGAUUCUGAGAAAGAAAAUAGUUUCCGAUCUUUGGGAUUCCCCUGAGAUGGUCCAAUCUGCAAAAAGUUCAUUGCCAUUUCCAUCAAGGACACUGAGAACAAGAGUCUUAUCCGCAUUGAAUCCUGGGAAUUGAGAAGCUUCAGCAGGGCUUCCGCUGGAACUAGGAUGAGGAUGUGGACACCCCCAACCUGGACCAUCUGGCCGAGGAGGGCGUCAAGGCCAAGUACCUCAUGCCACCCCUUGUCACAAUGACCUCCCCGUCCCACUUCACUGCCAUCACAGAAUCCCAGUGGCCACUAAAACAGAGGGAUUCCAACCUAAAAAGGAGGAAAAGGAGGCUGCUGAAAAGCAAAGGACUCUGUGUAAGAAUCAUAAUAGCGGAGGUGGAGCCAAGAUGGCAGAAUAGGAACAGCUCCAGUCUACAGUUCCCGGAGUGAGCGACGCAGAAGACAGGUGAUUUCUGCAUUUCCAACUGAGGUACUGGGUUCAUCUCACUGGGGAGUGUCAGAAAGUGGGUGCAGGACACCUGGUGCAGUGCAGUGAGCAUGAGUCCAAGCAGGGCGAGGCAUUGCCUCACCGAGGAAGUGCAAGGGGUCAGAGAAUUCCCUUUCCAGGUCAAAGAAAUGGGUCACAGACGGCACCUGGAAAAUCGGGUCACUUCCACCCUAAUACUGCACUUUUCCAAUGGUCUUAGCAAAUGGCACACCAGGAGAUUAUAUCCCAUGCCUGGCUCAGAGGGCCCUACACCCAUGGAGCCUCACUCAUUGCUAGCACAGCAGUCUGAGAUCAAACUGCAAGGUGACAGCAAGGCUGGGGGAGGGGCGCCUGCCAUUGCCUAGGCUUCAGUAGGUAAACAAAGCAGCUGGGAAGCUCCAACUGGGUGGAGCCCAACACAGCUCAAGGAGGCCUGCCUGCAUCUGUAGACUGCACCUCUAAGGGCAGGGCACUGGCAAACAAAAGACAGCAGAAUCCUCUGCAGACUUAAAUAUCCCUGUCUGACAGCUUUGAAGAGAGUAGUGGUUCUCCCAGCACACAGCUGGAGAUCUGAGAAUGGACAGACUGCCUCCUCAAGUGGGUCCCUGACCCCCGAGUAGCCUAACUGGGAGGCACCCCACAGUAGGGGCAGACUGACACCUCACAUGGCCGGGUACUCCUCUGAGACAAAACUUGCAGAGGAACAAUCAGGCAGCAACAUUUCCUGCUCACCAAUAUCUGCUGUUCUGCAGCCUCCACUGCUGAUACCCAGGCAAACUCCAACAGACAUGCAGCUGAGGGUCCUGACUCUCAGAAGGAAAACUAACAAACAGAAAGGACUUCCACACUAAAACCCCAUCUGUACGUCACCAUCAUCAAAGACCAAAGGUAGAUAAAACCACAAAGAUGGGGAAAAAACAGAACAGAAAAACUGGAAACUCUAAAAAUCAGAGUGCCUCUCCUGCUCCAAAGGAAUGCAGCUCCUCACCAGCAAUGGAACAAAGCUGGACAGAGAAUGACUUUGAUGAGUUGAGAGAAGAAGGCUUCAGAUGAUCAGAUUACUCUAAGCUAAAGGAGGAAGUUUGAACCCAUGGCAAAGAAGCUAAAAACCUUGAAAAAAAAUUAGAUGAAUGGCUAACUAGAAUAACCAAUGCAGAGAAGUCCUUAAAGGACCUGAUGGAGCUGAAAACCAAGACAGAAGAACUACGUGACAAAUGCACAAGCCUCAGUAGCCAAUUUGAUCAACUGGAAGAAAGGGUAUCAGUGAUGGAACAUGAAA